Molecule: unclassified non-coding RNA, 553 nt
Filed under: Trisetopsis natalensis
Lineage: Eukaryota; Viridiplantae; Streptophyta; Magnoliopsida; Poales; Poaceae
Description: sequence contains ITS1, 5.8S rRNA gene and ITS2
Rfam family: 5.8S ribosomal RNA (bases 197-352)
Source: RNAcentral
AGACCGCGCACGCGUCAUCCAGCCCGCCGAGCGGUCCGCCGCUCGGCCAAGUCCUCGACAACCUCCUCUCCCCGGAGCGGGGGCUCGGGGUAAAAGAACCCACGGCGCCGAAGGCGUCAAGGAACACUGUGCCUAGCUCGGGGACGCGGCUGGCUUGCCGGCCGCACCCCCUGCUGCAAUGCUAUUUAAUCCACACGACUCUCGGCAACGGAUAUCUCGGCUCUCGCAUCGAUGAAGAACGUAGCAAAAUGCGAUACCUUGGGUGAAUUGCAGAAUCCCGUGAACCAUCGAGUUUUUGAACGCAAGUUGCACCCGAGGCCUUCUAGCUGAGGGCACGCCUGCCUGGGUGUCACGCCAAAAGACACUCCUAACCCAUCCUUGGUGAAGGACGUGGUGUUUGGCUCCCCGUGCUGCAUGGUGCGGUGGGCUGAAGUUGGGGCUGCCGGCAUAUCUUGCCGAGCACCGCACGUGGUGGACGACACCUGCUUGUUCUCGGUGCAGUGUCUCGGCAUGCAUCUGGCUUAUUGGCCUUAAGGACCCAUACAAGACCGUA